RNAcentral lists this ribosomal RNA (439 nucleotides) under uncultured Desulfovibrio sp. RNAcentral's name for it is "bacterial SSU rRNA". It matches the Rfam family "Bacterial small subunit ribosomal RNA", at positions 948 to 1382 of the family's 1533-position model. Lineage: Bacteria; Pseudomonadati; Thermodesulfobacteriota; Desulfovibrionia; Desulfovibrionales; Desulfovibrionaceae. The record is from RNAcentral.
AAUUCGACGCAACGCGCAGAACCUUACCUAGACUUGACAUCCCGGGGAUUUUCUGGAAACAGAGAAGUGCUUUAGCAAUAAAGAACCCGGUGACAGGUGCUGCAUGGCUGUCGUCAGCUCGUGUCGUGAGAUGUUGGGUUAAGUCCCGCAACGAGCGCAACCCUCGCCUUUAGUUGCCAGCAUUCAGUUGGGCACUCUAGAGGGACUGCCGGUGUCAAACCGGAGGAAGGUGGGGAUGACGUCAAGUCCUCAUGGCCUUUAUGUCUAGGGCUACACACGUACUACAAUGGCCGGUACAAAGGGCAGCCACUCAGCGAUGAGGCGCUAAUCCCAUAAAGCCGGUCUCAGUCCGGAUCGCAGUCUGCAACUCGACUGCGUGAAGUUGGAAUCGCUAGUAAUCGUAGAUCAGAAUGUCACGGUGAAUACGUUCCCGGGUCUU